AGUGGGGAAUCUUNNACAAUGGGGAAACCCUGAUCUAGCCAUGCCGCGUGAGCGAUGAAGGCCUUAGGGUUGUAAAGCUCUUUCAGCUGGGAAGAUAAUGACGGCACCAGCAGAAGAAGCCCCGGCUAACUCCGUGCCAGCAGCCGCGGUAAUACGGAGGGGGCUAGCGUUGUUCGGAAUUACUGGGCGUAAAGCGCGCGUAGGCGGGCUGUUAAGUCGGGGGUGAAAUCCCGGGGCUCAACCCCGGAACUGCCUUCGAUACUGGCAGCCUAGAGGUCGAGAGAGGAGAGUGGAAUUCCGAGUGUAGAGGUGAAAUUCGUAGAUAUUCGGAGGAACACCAGUGGCGAAGGCGGCUCACUGGCUCGAUACUGACGCUGAGGUGCGAAAGUGUGGGGAGCAAACAGGAUUAGGUACCCUGGUAGUCCACACCGUAAACGAUGAAUGCCAGACGUCGGGCAGCAUGCUGUUCGGUGUCACACCUAACGGAUUAAGCAUUCCGCCUGGGGAGUACGGCCGCAAGGUUA
RNAcentral lists this ribosomal RNA (524 nucleotides) under uncultured bacterium. Its description in RNAcentral is "bacterial SSU rRNA". It matches the Rfam family "Bacterial small subunit ribosomal RNA", at positions 353 to 896 of the family's 1533-position model. The record is from RNAcentral.